AGGAGGGCUGGACCUCUCGGGGUUACAGCCUUGCUGAAUUAUUCACCCUUGUCUUUUGCGUACUUCUUGUUUCCUUGGUGGGUUCGCCCACCACUAGGACAAACAUAAACCUUUUGUAAUUGCAAUCAGCGUCAGUAACAAAUUAAUAAUUACAACUUUCAACAACGGAUCUCUUGGUUCUGGCAUCGAUGAAGAACGCAGCGAAAUGCGAUAAGUAGUGUGAAUUGCAGAAUUCAGUGAAUCAUCGAAUCUUUGAACGCACAUUGCGCCCUUUGGUAUUCCAAAGGGCAUGCCUGUUCGAGCGUCAUUUGUACCCUCAAGCUUUGCUUGGUGUUGGGCGUCUUGUCUCUAGCUUUGCUGGAGACUCGCCUUAAAGUAAUUGGCAGCCGGCCUACUGGUUUCGGAGCGCAGCACAAGUCGCACUCUCUAUCAGCAAAGGUCUAGCAUCCAUUAAGCCUUUUUUUCAACUUUUGACCUCGGAUCAGGUAGGGAUACCCGCUGAACUUAAGCAUAUCA
RNAcentral lists this ribosomal RNA (516 nucleotides) under Alternaria alternata. RNAcentral describes it as "eukaryotic LSU rRNA". The stretch from base 154 to 307 matches the Rfam family "5.8S ribosomal RNA". The record is from RNAcentral. Lineage: Eukaryota; Fungi; Ascomycota; Dothideomycetes; Pleosporales; Pleosporaceae.